This 433-nucleotide ribosomal RNA is filed under the name uncultured bacterium. Its description in RNAcentral is "partial 16S ribosomal RNA". It matches the Rfam family "Bacterial small subunit ribosomal RNA", at positions 29 to 507 of the family's 1533-position model. The record is from RNAcentral.
AACGAACGCUGGCGGCAUGCCUAACACAUGCAAGUCGAACGAGACCUUCGGGUCUAGUGGCGCACGGGUGCGUAACGCGUGGUAACCUGCCCUUAGGUUCGGAAUAACUCCCCGAAAGGGGUGCUAAUACCGGAUAAUGUCUUCGGACCAAAGAUUUAUCGCCUUUGGAUGGGCCCGCGUUGGAUUAGCUAGUUGUUAGGGUAAAAGCCUACCAAGGCGACGAUCCAUAGCUGGUCUGAGAGGAUGAUCAGCCACACUGGGACUGAGACACGGCCCAGACUCCUACGGGAGGCAGCAGUGGGGAAUAUUGGACAAUGGGCGAAAGCCUGAUCCAGCAAUGCCGCGUGAGUGAUGAAGGCCUUAGGGUUGUAAAGCUCUUUUACCCGGGAUGAUAAUGACAGUACCGGGAGAAUAAGCACCGGCUAACUACGUG